Molecule: non-coding RNA, 29 nt
Filed under: Bombyx mori (domestic silkworm)
Lineage: Eukaryota; Metazoa; Arthropoda; Insecta; Lepidoptera; Bombycidae
Source: RNAcentral
UCAAAUCCAACUUUUAUCUGCCUGAUCAC